UGCAGGUAUCGCCCUAAAAGUAGGGGGAAUCAUAAAGCAUGACGCGCAAGAAUAGAGUCUUCUUCAGAAAAAUCUGUUUCCCUCAUCUAAUAAUCGAUUAUCUCGUAUAAUAAUCGAUUGUAAUGCUAUCAUUUGAGCUAUUAUACUCUCUUUAAAUAAUCGCACCUUCUUUCCAAUAAAUAAACAAGGUUUAUUUCAUCUUUGGCAUCUUAUUAUUAUUUUUGCUAAUGGCAAAAGGGGGAAGAUAACGGGUAUGAUNNNN
Molecule: long non-coding RNA, 262 nt
Filed under: Nicotiana benthamiana
Lineage: Eukaryota; Viridiplantae; Streptophyta; Magnoliopsida; Solanales; Solanaceae
Description: long non-coding RNA (NBEN_LNC036996)
Source: RNAcentral